Long non-coding RNA from Oreochromis aureus, 631 nucleotides. The record is from Ensembl. NCBI's taxonomy places the organism in Eukaryota, Metazoa, Chordata, Actinopteri, Cichliformes, Cichlidae.
UACAUGCAACUUCAAGUUAUCUCUGUUAUAAAAAUCCACCAGCCCAGCGUUUAUAGAUAAUUUUAGCAGUUCGUUUUUUAUGAGUGAGGUUGUGAAUUUAGUUAGCGUUUGUUAGUUGACUUUAAGUGUAGAGCUUAAGCAGUUUUGGCUUUCCUUUUUCAUAAUGCCAGGAGAAGCUUUAGAUGCUUGUUUUGCCUUUAUUUGUUUAAAGCAAUAUAUUUGACUAGCAGCAAGUGUGUGGAGGGCAAAAUAUGUUCAAGACAAUAAAAAUGUCAGUGAAGGACAAAUGAAAUUUUGUUGCAGUGGUUUUCUGAUGCAUGUGUUUUAAGGUUUAAGGGUGGUGGCACAGCUAAGACCCAAGAGUCUCUUUCAAGACACUGAAUUUGAGCAGAAACCAUAAGGAUACUCAAAGGACCUGUGACUCUCAGGAAAUGCAUCAAAUGAGAGGGACAGAUGAAACAGUUUCAAGACAAUGGCAGGAAAAACAUGCUGAAGAUUGAAACAAACCUUGGCUGGAAAUAUUUGAAAAACUAAGUAAGCUGGAAGUUUUGCUUCUCAGUGCGGAAGGAUGAAAGAUGUGUUUUGAAAAUGCCACGUGACUACCGUCCUCCUCCCUCUCGGAUCAGUCCGC